RNAcentral lists this ribosomal RNA (241 nucleotides) under uncultured bacterium. RNAcentral's name for it is "partial 16S ribosomal RNA". It matches the Rfam family "Bacterial small subunit ribosomal RNA", at positions 524 to 741 of the family's 1533-position model. The record is from RNAcentral.
UACGUAGGGUGCGAGCGUUGUCCGGAAUUAUUGGGCGUAAAGAGCUUGUAGGCGGUUUGUCGCGUCUGCUGUGAAAAAAAUCCGGGGCUCAACCCCCCGGACUUGCAGUGGGUAUGGGCAGACUAGAGUGUGGUAGGGGGAGACUGGAAAAAUUUUUCCUGGUGUAGCGGUGGAAAAAUGCGCAGAUAUCAGGAGGGGAAAACACCGGGGUGGGGCGAGGCGGGGUCUCUGGGGCAGUAAA